UACGUAGGGGGCAAGCGUUGUCCGGAGUUACUGGGCGUAAAGCGCACGCAGGCGGUCUCUUAAGUUUGGAGUGACAGUUGGUGGCUUAACUGCCAAAGUGCUUCGAAAACUGAGAGACUUGAGGGCUUCAGAGGGACACGGAAUUCCGGGUGGAGUGGUGAAAUGCGUAGAGAUUCGGAGGAACACCAAAGGCGAAGGCAGUGUCCUGGGGAGUACCUGACGCUCAGGUGCGAAAGCCAGGGGAGCGAACGGG
Molecule: ribosomal RNA, 253 nt
Filed under: uncultured bacterium
Lineage: Bacteria
Description: partial 16S ribosomal RNA
Rfam family: Bacterial small subunit ribosomal RNA
Source: RNAcentral